RNAcentral lists this ribosomal RNA (471 nucleotides) under Veillonellaceae bacterium oral taxon 155. Its description in RNAcentral is "bacterial SSU rRNA". It matches the Rfam family "Bacterial small subunit ribosomal RNA", at positions 28 to 484 of the family's 1533-position model. Lineage: Bacteria; Bacillati; Bacillota; Negativicutes; Veillonellales; Veillonellaceae. The record is from RNAcentral.
GACGAACGCUGGCGGCGUGCUUAACACAUGCAAGUCGAACGGAGCGAUUUAUUUCGGUAAAUCGCUUAGUGGCAAACGGGUGAGUAACGCGUAGGCAACCUGCCCUCAGGAUGGGGACAACGGCUCGAAAGAGCCGCUAAUACCGAAUGACGUAACUCUUCCACAUGGAAGAGAUACUAAAGAUGGGUCAAACCAUCGCCUAAGGAUGGGCCUGCGUCUGAUUAGCCAGUUGGUGAGGUAACGGCUCACCAAAGCGACGAUCAGUAGCCGGUCUGAGAGGAUGAACGGCCACAAUGGGACUGAGACACGGCCCAUACUCCUACGGGAGGCAGCAGUGGGGAAUCUUCCGCAAUGGGCGAAAGCCUGACGGAGCAACGCCGCGUGAGUGAAGAAGGUCUUCGGAUCGUAAAGCUCUGUUGUCGGGGACGAAAGGAAAGGGGAGGCAAUGCCCUUUCAAGACGGUACCCGACG